UUUAUUUAAAUUUUUUAUUAUUUUUUUAGUUACACUUUAUUAGUCUGGCUUCUAGACUCUAUUUGGCAUUAGUACUUUAGUAUAUACGUCGUGCUUUACUUUUAAGUAAUUUUUAAAAAAAUUAAUCAAAAUCAGUGAAAUAUAUUUUUUUUGAAAACUUUUUGGAAGAAACUAAAACUAAAACUCUAAAAAUGCAUAAAACAAAAACUUUAAAGAAGAAUAUCAAAACAAAGAUUAUUCCAAACCAAGUUUGGCGUUUGAGUCCUAAAAACCAAAAACACCAUUCUGGAAACCAUGUCAAACGAACCAGUCUCUUUCGAAGAUUUGAAAUUUGAGAGUUCUAAAGAAAGGAAAAGUUUAUAUCAAAAAGGAUUUUGAAAGAAAAAACAAUAACUAUCAACUUUAAUAAUUGUGAGUUGCCCCACUUGUCUACGGCUUUGGGCCCUCUUGGUUAGGACUCAUCGCUUAGAUUCCUCAUUACUACUUUUAUUUUGACAAAAAAAAAAACAAAUGGUUUUGGUUCAGAAGACUUGGCGAUUAUAUGAAGCCGCGUGUGUGGAAGAAAGAGCUACAUGAACAAAGAACAAUCAACAAUAAAAAUUUUAUAAGCAACGGAAAUUUUCAAAUAAAUUACUCUCCACAACUUUCUUGGGAAAAUGGUUCUCUGACUCAAAUUUUCGGAUGUGGUAUUGUUGGUGGUAACAUCUUUAAGGUGGACUAAUACUUGUGCGAGAGUACCUGGGCAAAUUUCAACAUUGCUACAAACUUCAAUGUUCAAACAAUAGUCAUAACAUGCUUAUAUAUAGGCUUGUAAUUGUGAAUUGGGUAUGUAGCGUUUUAUUUAUUUUCUGUCUCAUUUGUUUAUUGUGUUUUAUUAUAAUUAUUAUUAUUAUUAUUAUCAUUUAACACGAAAGCUUUGAUUAAUUGGGAUUCCUAGGAUCAAAGUUGUAUAAUUAUUAUUAUUAUUAUCAUUUCGAGUAAGGUUAUAAAUAA
Molecule: long non-coding RNA, 993 nt
Organism: Ziziphus jujuba (common jujube)
Lineage: Eukaryota; Viridiplantae; Streptophyta; Magnoliopsida; Rosales; Rhamnaceae
Exons: 2
Source: RefSeq, a predicted model, not a curated record